GGAGAGGUGGCUCAGAGGUUAAGAGCACUGACUGCUCUUCCAGAGGUCCUGAGUUCAAUUCCCAGUAACCCCA
Molecule: transfer RNA, 73 nt
Filed under: Cricetulus griseus (Chinese hamster)
Lineage: Eukaryota; Metazoa; Chordata; Mammalia; Rodentia; Cricetidae
Rfam family: tRNA
About the family: Transfer RNA (tRNA) molecules are approximately 80 nucleotides in length. Their secondary structure includes four short double-helical elements and three loops (D, anti-codon, and T loops). Further hydrogen bonds mediate the characteristic L-shaped molecular structure. tRNAs have two regions of fundamental functional importance: the anti-codon, which is responsible for specific mRNA codon recognition, and the 3' end, to which the tRNAs corresponding amino acid is attached (by aminoacyl-tRNA synthetases). tRNAs cope with the degeneracy of the genetic code in two manners: having more than one tRNA (with a specific anti-codon) for a particular amino acid; and 'wobble' base-pairing, i.e. permitting non-standard base-pairing at the 3rd anti-codon position.
Source: Rfam by way of RNAcentral